AACGUAGGAGACAAACGUUAUCCGGAGUUACUGGGCGUAAAGGGCGUGUAGGUGGUUUCGUAAGUCUGGCGUGAAAUUUUUCGGCUUAACCGGGAAAGGUCGUCGGAUACUGCGGAGCUAGAGGACGGUAGAGGCGUGUGGAAUUCCGGGUGAGUGGUGAAAUGCGUAGAGAUCCGGAGGAACACCAGUGGCGAAGGCGACACGCUGGGCCGUACCUGACACUGAUGCGCGACAGCAUGGGGAGCAAACAGG
This 252-nucleotide ribosomal RNA is filed under the name uncultured bacterium. RNAcentral describes it as "partial 16S ribosomal RNA". It matches the Rfam family "Bacterial small subunit ribosomal RNA", at positions 524 to 776 of the family's 1533-position model. The record is from RNAcentral.